Molecule: long non-coding RNA, 1135 nt
Filed under: Homo sapiens (human)
Lineage: Eukaryota; Metazoa; Chordata; Mammalia; Primates; Hominidae
Description: HSALNT0407511
Source: RNAcentral
GCUGCAGCGACGCGACGCGCAAGUUGCCAGCGAUUCUUUGUUCUUUUUCUUCCGAGGCCAAGAUCGAUUUGCUCCCCCGCCCCUCCCUUCUUGGACCGUGCUUGUUAUUGAGCCUGUAAACUACAUUUCCCAAGAUGCCACGCGCAAGAUGGCGCCCAUUCAUUUUUCGCGUGCCGGGAAGCGAAAUUACCACUCGGGGCAUAAACGUGACAGGGGCUGAGGUGGAAGGAUCGCUUGAGUCCAGGACUUCAAGACCAGCCUGGGCAAUAUGGUGAGAUCCCCGUCUCUACAAAUAAUAAAAAUAGCCGGGCGUGGUGGUGUGUGCGAGUAGUUCCAGCUACUUGGGAGGCUGAGGUGGGAGGAUUGCAUGAGCCUGGGAGGUCAAGGCUGCAGUGAGCCUUGAUCUUGCCACUGCACUCCACUGUGGGUGACAGAGUGAGACCCUGUCUCAACAAACAAACAAAACCAGUUGUUAAACCAGCUGUUUAACAACCAGUUUGCAAAAUUUCUGAAAAUUGAACAGCUCCUCCCAACCUGUAUAAGUUGGCUCCAGCAUGUCCUUCCCUUUGUUCAUUCAUUUUAAUCCUGGCAACAUGCAUAUGAGUAUUAGCCAGGGGCGGCGGCAUGUGCCUUUAGUCCCAGCUACUCCAGAGGCUGAGGUGGGAGGAUCCCUGGAGCCCAGGGGUUUGAAUCUAGUCUGGGCAACAUAGCGAGAACCCAUGUCUCUUUAAAAAAUAAAAGGGCUGGAUGCAGUGGCUCACGCCUAUAAUCCCAGAACUUUGGGAGGGCGAGGCGGGGGGAUCACUUGAGGUCAGGAGUUGGAGACCAGCCUGGCCAACAUAGUGCAACCCCGUCUCUACUAAAAAUACAAAAAUUAGCUGGGCGUGGUGAUGCGCACCUCUAGUCCCAGCUACUCAGGAGGCCAAGGUGGGAGGAUCACUUGAACCUGGGAGGUGGAGGUUGCAGUGAGCCGACAUCGUGCUACUGCACUCCAGCUUGGGCGACAGAGUGAGACCCUGUCUCAAGAAAAAAAAAAAAAACAGAAUGAUUGAUUCCUUAGCACACGAGCUUCACCAGGCAGGGAUUCCUGUUCUGUCAUGUUCACUGCUGCCUCCCAGUGCCUGGAACAGGGGUG